AAUCAACGCUGGCGGCGCGCUUAACACAUGCAAGUCGAGCGAGAAAGGGAGCAAUCCUGAGUAAAGCGGCGCACGGGUGAGUAACACGUGGAUGAUUUACCCUAUGGUGGGGAAUAACCUUGGGAAACCGAGGCUAAUACCGCAUAAGUUCGAGAGAAGAAAGCCGAAAGGCGCCAUUGGAGGAGUCCGCGGCCGAUUAGCUAGUUGGUGAGGUAAGAGCUCACCAAGGCGACGAUCGGUAGCCGGCCUGAGAGGGCACACGGCCACACUGGCACUGAAACACGGGCCAGACUCCUACGGGAGGCAGCAGUGGGGAAUCUUGCACAAUGGGGGAAACCCUGAUGCAGCGACGCCGCGUGAGUGAUGAAGCCCUUCGGGGUGUAAAGCUCUUUCGGCAGUGACGAUAAUGACGGUACCUGCAGAAGAAGCUGCGGCUAACUACGUGCCAGCAGCCGCGGUAAUACGUAGGCAGCAAGCGUUGUUCGGAAUUACUGGGCGUAAAGAGUGCGUAGGCGGUUUGGCAAGUUUGGUGUGAAAUCUCC
RNAcentral lists this ribosomal RNA (542 nucleotides) under uncultured bacterium. RNAcentral's name for it is "bacterial SSU rRNA". It matches the Rfam family "Bacterial small subunit ribosomal RNA", at positions 28 to 604 of the family's 1533-position model. The record is from RNAcentral.